GGGGAGAAAUGAAGCCAGCAGGCAAAGUAUGGGGAGGGGCUUGGCAAAACUGGGCGCUCAUCUUACCUUGGGUGCUUGCUGGGGACUUGUGAGCAAGUUGCGUCCUAGCCUGGUGUCUCAGAUUUUUCUCUCCCGUCACAAAGCAGUACCACUUCUGACCUCACAGUAUGGCUUUGAGGAAUCAUUGAAUAAGAAAGUGGAUUGGGACGAGCUGCCAAAAGAGCUGCCUGCAUGACAUGUUCGCUUUACAAGGGAUGGUAGAUAGCAUGUGCACGUGCCGUCCCCCCACUUUGGAGCCCAGGGCAGACAUCGCUAAUUGAUCACAGCUCUCCCUCCCCCUGAAUGUGGCGCUGUCUCAGAGCUCCUCUCAGACCAGAGUGCUGCAGGCUGCCACUUCUAGGCUAGUGAAGCUUGGAUGUGAGAUGAAAUCUAUCUUCCAUGCUUGCAUGGUCUGCUGAGAAGCUGCUGCUCUGGAGCCAGGCAUCUCCAGGAAAAGCCAAAGCUUGAGUAAAAAAUGAGGCAGGAAAUCAUAAGGGGGAAGGAGAGGAGACCUAGCCAGGGUAACAGGCUCUUGGUACCAAAUGGGCCGUGGGCAGUGUCGGCAGCAGUUAGGCGCCCCUGGCAGUGGGCAGGGUGUGUAGAGCAGUCAUCGGAAGGAGCAGGCACCAGGAGAGGGGCCCCUCUUGGCUGAGCCGCUGCCCCAGACCAGGGACUGUGUCUCAUUCCAUGAGCACAACAUUUCUGUGGGGUCUGUGCCUUUAUUUUCUGCACUUUACAUGAAAGGAAACCGAGGCUGGGAGAGGUUACAAUCAAGAGUGCAUGGGGAGAGUUCCCGUCAUGGCUCAGAGGUUAACGAAUCUGACUAGGACCCAUGAGGUUGCGGGUUCGAUCCCUGGCCUUGCUCAUGGAUUAAGGAUCUGGUGCUGGCCGGAGGCACCGAUUUGACCCCUAGCCUGGGAACCUCCAUGUGCCAUGGGUGCGGCCCUAGAAAAGGCAACAAACAAACAAACAAACAAAAACGAAAAGAGUGCAUGGAGCUGGUGCUGGUACCCAGGUUGGCAAGAGGGUAAAGCCCCCAUUCUCCAUGCUGCCCUUUCAGAGAGCCUGACCUGGUGUCUUGGCCCCUCUCCUGAGCAGGCCUGGGACUGGAGGUGACCUGUUUUGGCUCCAGCAUUUGGGUGCUGGCAGGCUGGACCCCUGCCACAUGCGGUGUGUGAGGCAAGCAGACCCUGGGAGAUUUGCUGACACCUGUCUUUCUGCUUUUCCAACCGCUGGGGACUUUGAGUUUGUGAACCCUGGAGCAGGGGGCAGAAGAGUGGGUGGGAGUCCAGUUCAGCCCCGCUCUUUCAUGGUGUCACCUGAGGCAACCCUCUGCCCUUUCCUGGGCCUCAGUGUACCUAGUCUAUGACCCAGAGCCUUAGGACUCAAGAUGGGGUCCACCAAGGAUCAGCUUCAGGGGCCCCUGCUGGAAGGGCUGCAUCUCAGGCCCCUGGGUCACCAUCUGUGUUCUCCCAGGGCCCUGCGCAUUCACAUGGUCACAGAGGUUGUAAAACAAUGAAACUCUCGUGGGUUCUCCAGCUGCCUGCUGGUUCAAUGAGUUGGGCAUUCUGUGACUAACAGUCAGCACCUGAAGCUGGGCUGAGCCCAGCCUUGAAGGCUGAAGCUCAGCCUGGUUGUUCCAGCCAAGGAGGAUAAGCUGGGAAUACUCGGCAAGGCUCUUGUGGGGACGGAAGGGACAGCUCCUGCAAGACCGGCCAUGGGCAGGCCCGAGAUGGUCAGGAGCAGCCAGCCAGCUGCAAGGAGCUCUCCGGCUGGGGCAGGAGGCCAGGCUCACAGACUCAGGACAGCAACCUGGGUACAGGGAGGGAGAGGACAGAGCUGCAGGAGACCAGAGGAGGGUGGGGUCGGGGGGGACCCUGGGGCCAGAGGAGACUGGGAAGGAGAGACCACUAAUGUGGACCGAAGCCCCAGAGCAAGACGGUCCUCUCUGCUGCUCUGCAGGUGACCCCAAGGCCCCAUAGGUGACAUCUCAAGGCCCCAUUACAGAGCAGCAGGGGCACACAAUUAAAUUCAAAUGCUCAUCCAUUUCCCCAAAAGCAUCAGCAUUUUCCAACCCUUUUAUGGAUUUCUGAGGAAAGAUAAAAUGCAGCUGUUUUGGCUCCUGAGCCAAUGAAAUAAUGUGAGGUGGCCCGAGUUCUCUCCAAGGAAAUCAGCAGCUUAUUUAUUUAUUUUUGACUCCAGAACUUCUAUCCCAGUCUCAUAAUGAACUUGAGCUUCUAAACCUGCCCCUUUAUUGCCCUGGCCCUCACCUCAAACCACUUUGGGGUGACUUCUUUGUAGACACUCAAAAGCCUUCUGGCGACGUGACUGUUGUCAAUUUUUAUGCUUCACUUUCCUCUUCUAAAAAAACGUGGGUUGCCUAACCCCUGGGUCCGGCAGGAUCCUUGGCACAGUUAAAAGAGGUUCUGCAGGCCACAGCCUCACAGAAUGCCUAGCACAUCGUAGGUCCUCAAUUAUGCCACGUGCCUGCCUUUCAGAUCUCUUGGGGGUUAAGGAACUCAUAUAAAGCGAGCUGCCUGCUGCUACUCCUGCUGGGCCCCAGAUGUUGCAAUUUCCUUUCCCGUGAACACAACCCUGGCCGUCACAGGCCUAGGAUGGCUCAGGUCCACAGGGUACACAGGCCUCGCAGUGACCUUGAGACUGGUAGGGCCAGCAUGGGCACUGCCACCACCACAGUGAUGCCCAGGAAGCCCGAAGGCCAGCCUUCCUGUAUGUGUGGAUUAGCCCAGGGUUGUGCCAGCAGGCCUCUGCUACUGCACCAUGCUCGGUCACUUCCUGAGAAGAGCCUUGCUUCAAAACGCCUGGAAGUGCUUGCUCUCCUUUAUGUCCCAAGCUAGUCUUCAUUUUGCUGGGAUCCAAUCUUUGAUGUCAAGAAGCACAGGAAAGUGGGAGGAAUCUUGAGUGCAGGCAGCAUCCUCCUUCCCAUGUUCCCUGACAGCUCACCUCUCACCCAGGCUCCCUUCCCAGCUGGCGUGCCCCGUAGGUGAUGGGUUACCUGUCCCUGCAGCCUAGUGGAGACCAGGUGGAACACCCAUGGCCAGGUGUGGCAGGGGACCACUAACCCAGAUGAUCCUAGGGCCUCUGGUAUGGUUAUUAUCCACUGCCUAAGCCAGAGAGCUCUUUUUGAGUUUCUGGCAUGAUAACCCCAUGAAGUGGGUUGCAUCACAUGUCCCCCAAAAGAUAUGCCCAGUCCAAACCCCCAGUACCUGUGAGUGUGAAAUAUCCCCUUAUUUGGGAAAAGGGCCUUUGCAGAUGAAAUUGAGUUAAGAAUCUUGAGAUGAGAUCAUCCUGGAUUUAGGGUGGGCCCUAAAUCCACUGGCUGGUGCCUUAUAAGGAGAUAGAAAUCUGAGACACAGAGACACGGGCCAGAGCCGGUGAAGAUGGAGGCAGAGAUUGGAGUGAUGCGUCUACAAGCCAAGGACCGUCAAGGAUCGCUAAGCGCCCAGCAGAAGCUGGAUGAGGCAAGGAAAGAUUCUCCCUAGUGCCUCGGGAAGCAUGGAAAGCCUGCUGAUCGUUUGGUUUGGGACUUCUGGCUUUCAAAACUGUGUGGGAAUAAAUUUUUGCGUAAGCCACCCAAUUUGUGAUCAUUUGUUACAACAGCCCUAGAAGACUAAUGCACUAUAGAAAGUAGCAUAAAAAGUUUAAAAUAAGGCGACUAUGCACGUGUUUGAAGUGUUUUCAGUGUGGUAGGGCGAUGAGGCCCCCUGAAGGAGUGGGAGGGCCCUGGGGAUGCCUCAGGGUUCCGUGGAGGCUGUGGGGACCGUUGAGGCCCACAGGCCGGGCGGUCAGUGCUGCUGGUGGGAGGUGGCCUGCAUCUGAGCUCUGAAGGAUGCUGAGCAUCGGUGCAGACCCAGGGUGCCUUGCCUGGGGGUGGGAGGGAUGUUUGGAGGUGGACAUUGGAGUGCUGUGUUUGUGGAAGGUGGGAAAACAUUAAAAGACACAGAAAAGAUGCUGGCUGUCAGAGAAGUGUGGGAAAUUAAGCCCCCCUCUUAUUUAUCUCCCUUCAGGCCUACGGAGCUCUCUACUCAUCCAGGGGCAGGUAGUGUGGAGAUUACUGGGCUCCAGGCCUGGAUCCAGUGUGGUGGGAACCCAGAGGGGAAUUAUGCCCUGUCCUCUCCUGUCCCCUCCACAGGGAGGUCGGAGUCAGUGAGGUGGACCCAAGGGGUGACAGUCACAGACAGACGCAGGCAAGAUGCCAGGGGAUUGGGGGAAGGAGGCUUCUCCCUGAGCUGGGGUGUCCAGGGAGACUUCCUGGCAGAAGUGGUGGAUCUGGUUCCAUGAAGUCUGGAAGUGGGUGUGUGUGUGUGUGUGUGUGUGUGUGUGUGUAUUGGGGGGUGGGGGUACCUGGAUGAUCUUUGAGCAGGAAGCCAGGGGAUGAUCCAGGGAGUGUGAUGGGGCCGUGGGUGUGUACAGGACUGGAGGGUGAGGGGCAGAGCAGUGGGUUGUGGGGGAGGGGAGAUGCAGGCUCAGCUGGAGGAUGUCUUCUGAAAUGCUUUGUGACGAAAUGGGUGGCAGGGUGAGCACAUUAUGGGGACCAUGACUCAGGCUGCAGAGUCCAGAGAACCCAAGUGUAGCUCGAGGGCACCGUAUCUUUGUGGUGAGGCUGAAGGCAAGGCUUGCGAGUACUCUUUCCUGGCCAGACAGAUGGCCAGACGGCCACACACACACACACACACUCAGACCCACACAGACUCACAGAGAAGCCUUUUUCCCUGACUCUGUCCUCCCCGUCCCCACCUGCUUCUUACUUCCUCCUCUGCUUUCUCCCUACUGUCCCCUCCCUACUCACAGGGAGGGCAAAGCCUAGCCCCAGACAGCAGCACAUGUCCAGCCUCCCAGACAGCGUCAGCUCUUCGCAAAGGCCAAGGGCAGAGAGGGACAAGGUACGCAGGCAGGCACUGACCCACCAAGACACUGAGACACACAGACCCCAGUCACACCACAGCACAAAGAAAAGUGCUGGGGCACACACAUCACACACACUGACCCAUGCAGGGAGGCACAUAGAGGAUGCGACACCCAUCCCAGGGCACACACUUGCAGACAUCCACACCCAGACACUCACCGGCAUAUACACAGACUCACAUAUACACUCUAAACAGAAAGAUACACACACAAGGAGAUCCUCAGACACACACACACAAAGACACACAGAUGCAUAGUCAGAUCAACACGGGCAGAGCCACGGAGACAAAGAGGCUUUGAGCGAGACCAGCCCGCCCCAGAACCCACACAUCCCAGCUUUGCAGUCCCCCUAGGAACCCUCUCAAAAGCCAGGAGAAAUUCCUGGGAUAUUAGCUAAAUUUCAGACACAAACAUUCUGGUCUCCCUCUCCAGAUGUAAUGCUCGUGGAAACCUGCACAGCCCUCCCUCGGCUGGCCCCGCAGGCCCCCACUCCCUGGCUUCUAGGAACGUUGCCAUGUGGAGACAGGGCCAGACUCAGGAAGGGGGUGGUCCCAGAGAGGUGGGGGGACCACACCGGGCAGGGAGCACAGGGCCACAUUGGUGGGGCUCUCGACGCACUGGGGGGGAUCCUGACAGAUGAGGGCAGCAGGCAGAGAGGGAAGGGGCAGGUAGAGAAGGGGGCCUCCUUGCAGCAGAUGGGGGCACUGCUCAAAGUCAGAGAUGACCUGGUCCUGGGGAUGCACGGAGAGGAUCUAGACUGGAGUCAGAUGCCCACCGGGAAGCUUGGCUCAACAUAGGGGCCCUUGCAAGGACAGGGGCCUCACUCACCUUCCUAUAGACACACUGGCCACCUCUCAGCUCCAGGAACAUGGCAAGUCCUUUCUACCUCAGGGCCUUUGCACACACUGAUCCCUCUGUUACAGCCAAAGCUCAGUGCAUAGCAAAAGCUCGAGUGUGGGUCCUGUCUCUUAGGCCACAUAUGCCACUUUAAAUUCUUCAGCCGCAGUUUCCAUAUCUAAAAUGUAUUGAAAAUGCAUUUCUCUCACAAGGUUCUUGUGAGAACAAGAUGAGACAAUGAACAUAAUUGGGCUUUGGCAAAUAUCCUCUCACCUCAUGUGAGGGCUGCAUGAUCUUUCUUCUUAACCCCCCAGUGAGAAUGGUGGUGACCUUGAGUUAAACACAGAUGGCUCCGGAAACACAUGUCCAGAAGUGUCUGCCUAAAAAGUAUGCUUGCAGAGGUCCUGUGAGGUGUCCUGACUCUUGGCCAAUGCCUGCAAUUCCAUUGUUCUUAUCACAAGCCUGUAUCGUCAACUCAAAGCCCAUUAGAGUCAUCAGUGCUUCACCUCUGCCUGAAACACAGACAGUCUGCAAAUCUGGAUGCUUCACGUCUCAAUCAGCCUCACAUCCACCUGUCCUAGCACCUGAGACACCGGGACCCAGCAGGGCACCCACUCAGUGGCAUCUCCCAGGACAAGCCAAAUAUCCCCCCACCGAGUAAGUCACUCCCUCUCCAUCUUCCGUGCUGGCUUCCUGCAAAGGGCAGUAGCUGCUGAGGAGCUCGGCCUCUUGCAGGGUGGCUGACUGCGGGCAAGUGACUUAAUAGCUUUGAGUUUGGGUUUUUGCAUGUUUCCCCUACCCCACAUAUUUCCCUUAAAAAACAUGGCUCACCUUAUGAGCUAGACCCUGACAGUGCUCCAGGCACAUGGCUGUAACUCAGUAAAUGGUGACUGCAGUGACGAUGAUGAUGAUGAGAUGAAGUAAGAAGAGCUCCCCAGGUGAUGGUGGGAUGGGAGCUUGUUGCCCUGCUCAGAGACUGCUGGGUCUGAGACACAGGGCUGCCUGCCUCCCUCCCGCCCGGACAAGGCUUGCUUUUGCAAGAGGCAGCUCGUUAUGCGGGAGAUAUAUGUCCUGUCGUAAAGCGUUUAAUAUUUUAGCUCCUAAUUGCGUUACCAGAGACAGACAGCUGUUUAUCCUCAUCACUCUCCCAUUGCUGUCUUUGGCAGGACCCACUGGGCCGCUCCAGGUGUUUCCUUGCCUCCUCUUCUGAAAAUUCGGGACCGCCAUACAGACACCUCCCGGCUCUUCUGUGUGGUCAGGCGGUGAGUGGUGCCAGAAUGCAGGGGCCUAUGCUUGGAGCCAUGGGGGGUUCCAGAUGUCCUGUGUUCCCUAUCUGCCUCCUCCUACCUGCCCCUUUAUUAAGCACCAUGGCAUCCAUCAGCUCAUCUGAUUUUCACAGCAGCCCUUCCAGGCCAGAACAGCUAUUAUUGAUCCCAUGAUACAGAGGGGGAACUGAUGCUAGGAGAGGUUGUGAAUUUCACUCAUUCACUCAUUCAUUCACUCAUUCAGCCGUCCUUUUGGUUGGAGCAGCAUUGUGAAAGGCACUAAGGACAGCGAUAUGAGUAAGGUGUAGCCCCUCACCCUCAGGGACCCACGGCCUUGCGCAGAUGGAAGGUGGCAAUGACCUGACCACCCUUGGAGUGUCUCUGUCUCCCUAGGCAGUGCUCACUGGCAGAAUGCUAGUUCUAAAACAUGGGCCAAACUCACUUCUAGAGCUCUUGGAUGGGCUGAUCUCAGUGUAAAGCCCCAGACUCUCUGCUAAGCUUUCUAGUCUCCCACCAUCUUCACCACACUGAGACCCGUGGAACCUCAUGCUUCCCAACUUGCCACACAUGUGACAACCCCACUCACUGCCCACCCAACAGCCAUGCCUUCCUUCUACUCACCUGUCUUCCCGGCUCCCAGAGCUCUGAUGCUGUGGGGGGUGGGCAGAGACUCUGGCACCUAGCCUGUCAGCAGCCCCGGUGUAAACGGAUCAUGGUUAUCCUAACGCCCUUUGCCAGGCACCUCCCAGUCUUCCUCAUAGGUGGGGGUGACCAGCCCAUCAGUGAGAAUAGGGGACAGUUAUGGACCAAAUGUCUGUGCCUCCUUCAAGUUCGUACGUUCAGACCUUAGCCUCUUGCCCCUGAUUGUAUUAGGAGGUGGGGCCUUUGCGAGGUGAUAAGGUCGUGAGGCUGGAGCCUCAUGAAUGGGAUCAGUGUCCUAAUAAAAGGGACCCCAGCGAGCUCGUGUUCCUCUUUCCGCCACCUGAUAUUUUAAGAAGUUGGCUAUCUGCAACCAGAAGGGGACUCUCACCAGAACCCGACCUUGCUGGCACCCCGAUCUCAGCUUUUCAGCCUCCAGAACUGUGAGAAAUAUAUUUCUGUAGUUACAAGCCACCUCGUCUAUGAUGCUUUGUGAUAGCAGCCAGCACGGGCUUCAACAGGGGUAUGUGCUGGAGAAUUUCAGGACAGAUGGAGUCUCUCCAUCCUCUUCUUUGUAUCUUGAGCUUGGUUGUAAGCAGAUGAGAUGUUCGGAGCAGCAGCAGCCAUCAUUUGAUCAGGUGAUAACACACCAAUUGCAAAAAGCCAGUACACCAAGAAGAGCUGAGCAGAAAUGUGGGUGAGCCCGGGUGUUUGUGGGCAUCAGUGGCCUAGGACCAGGCUGCUCCCAGGUAGUGAGGGAGGAGAUGCCUCUCAGCUGAUACCGCUGCUCUUAGGGGCUCACUGGUUUGCACUGGAUACAUCCUAGCAGACGCCUGAGUCAGCCUCUGCCACCUCCUGUCUAGAAUGCCCUCUCCUCUGGUUUCGUUCUGAAAACUUUUUCUCACCUUUUAAGACCCAACCCAAGUCCUUUUCUGAGAAAAAUUUACCCCAUCCUGACCACAGCGUUGAGCGCCAGGUCAUCAGAGCCCCUGUGAUACUGAGUUCAGCCUGCUUGUAGUCUCCGCCUGCCAUGGUGGGUGCUACCUGCAGUCAUACCAUUCAUAGGGCAGUGGGUGCCACAGCCAGGCCCCCUGCUUGUCCUGGCAUAGCCGCCUGAGGAAGGGAUCAAGGGCCAUUCUCUCUCUAGGCAGCUGGGGCUGGGGCCCGUCACAAACUAAGCCCCGAGCAGGGCCUGCUGGGGGAUGAAGUCAUGUGGAAAAACACUCAAGUUAGAACAAAACUGUCUUUCUGCAAAUGACUUCAUCAUGUCGCCAGAAGGCUCGGAUCACUCCACCUCUCACCUUUUCCCGCCCGCCCAUGGGAGCGGGGAAGACCAGUUCCUCGGGUCCUGUUACAUCACUCAGGCAAAAGUAAACGUUACCGAGACCCACCCACCAGGGGCUGGAGAGCUGAUGCCUUCAUCUCCCUCCAGAGGCAGGACUUCCUCUGACCCCUCAGGCUGGGAAGGCCUGGAGGGCAAGCUGGGGCCUCCUCUACCUCUGUGAUCUCAGGGCCCUGCUUAGAGACCAGCAAAAACAUAAAAUAAUACAAAACCCACUUGUGGAGUUCCCCUUGUGGCUCAGUGGAAAUGAAUGCAAUUAGUAUCCAUGAGGAUGCAGGUUCGAUCCCUGGCCCUGCUCAGUGGGGUAGAGAUCCUGCGUUGCUGUGGCUGUGGUGCAGGCCGGCAGCUGUAUCUCCGAUUCGACCCCUAGCCUGGGAACUUCCAAAUGCCACACCUGUGGUCCUAAAAAGCAAAAGCAAAAAGAAAACAAAACAAAACAAAAAAAAAAAAAGAAAAAAA
Molecule: long non-coding RNA, 9507 nt
Filed under: Sus scrofa (pig)
Lineage: Eukaryota; Metazoa; Chordata; Mammalia; Artiodactyla; Suidae
Description: lncRNA (ENSSSCG00040032295.1)
Source: RNAcentral